Molecule: ribosomal RNA, 253 nt
Filed under: uncultured bacterium
Lineage: Bacteria
Description: partial 16S ribosomal RNA
Rfam family: Bacterial small subunit ribosomal RNA
Source: RNAcentral
UACGGAGGGUGCAAGCGUUGUCCGGAUUUAUUGGGUUUAAAGGGUGCGUAGGCGGUUAAUUAAGUCAGUGGUGAAAUCCUGGAGCUCAACUUCAUAACUGCCAUUGAUACUGGUUGACUUGAGUACAGACGAGGUUGGCGGAAUUGAUGGUGUAGCGGUGAAAUGCAUAGAUACCAUCAAGAACACCGAUUGCGAAGGCAGCUAACUAGGCUGUAACUGACGCUGAGGCACGAAAGUGUGGGGAUCAAACAGG